RNAcentral lists this ribosomal RNA (808 nucleotides) under uncultured bacterium. Its description in RNAcentral is "bacterial SSU rRNA". It matches the Rfam family "Bacterial small subunit ribosomal RNA", at positions 44 to 887 of the family's 1533-position model. The record is from RNAcentral.
ACGCCUAACACAUGCAAGUCGAGCGCUCUAACCACUUCGGUGGGGACGGGAGCGGCGGACGGGUUAGUAACGCGUGGGAACAUACCCUUUUCUACGGAAUAGCCUCGGGAAACUGAGAGUAAUACCGUAUACGCCCUUUCGGGGGAAAGAUUUAUCGGUUAAGGAUUGGCCCGCGUUAGAUUAGUUAGUUGGUGGGGUAACGGCCUACCAAGACGACGAUCUAUAGCUGGUUUGAGAGGAUGAUCAGCAACACUGGGACUGAGACACGGCCCAGACUCCUACGGGAGGCAGCAGUGGGGAAUCUUAGACAAUGGGCGCAAGCCUGAUCUAGCGAUGCCGCGUGAGUGAAGAAGGCCUUAGGGUCGUAAAGCUCUUUCGCCUGUGAUGAUAAUGACAGUAGCAGGUAAAGAAACCCCGGCUAACUCCGUGCCAGCAGCCGCGGUAAUACGGAGGGGGUUAGCGUUGUUCGGAAUUACUGGGCGUAAAGCGUACGUAGGCGGAUUAGUAAGUGAGGGGUGAAAUCCCAGGGCUCAACCCUGGAACUGCCUCUCAUACUGCUAGUCUUGAGAUCGAGAGAGGUGAGUGGAAUUCCGAGUGUAGAGGUGAAAUUCGUAGAUAUUCGGAGGAACAUCAGUGGCGAAGGCGGCUCACUGGCUCGAUACUGACGCUGAGGUACGAAAGUGUGGGGAGCAAACAGGAUUAGAUACCCUGGUAGUCCACACCGUAAACGAUGAAUGCCAGACGUCGGGUAGCUUGCUAUUCGGUGUCACACCUAACGGAUUAAGCAUUCCGCCUGGGGAGUACGGUC